CAAAUCCCCAUUAGAAAAUUAGAAAAUCUGGACACCAUCAGAAUGCUGAUAGGUGCAGGCAAAAUUAUAAGUCAAUGCUAAAAGUAUAGGUAAAUUUUUGAUGAGGAUCAGGAUAUUUAUUCCAGGCAGAAACAAAGAUACAAAUUUCUCAAUUUGUAUUCACACCCAAGAAAUAUAAGUUCUGCUGCAAUUUAUGUGUGAAAUAGGAUCCAAUUUUCCCC
RNAcentral lists this long non-coding RNA (221 nucleotides) under Pan troglodytes (chimpanzee). RNAcentral describes it as "long non-coding RNA NONPTRT014567". The record is from RNAcentral. Lineage: Eukaryota; Metazoa; Chordata; Mammalia; Primates; Hominidae.